CUAUCAACCCAAGAAAGAACUCUUCUUCCUUUCAUGCCUGAGAAGAACCUUUCUUCUUUUUCUUCCACAUGCAAGAGAAAUUUUUUUGCUUCUAUUUCCAUGCCUCCAAAGAGGAACUCUUCCUCCCACGACAAGAGGAACUAUUCAUCUCUUUUUCUCACAUUUAGAAAGAUCUGAUUUUUAUUUCAAAUUUCCCAUGUUAAAACCUCCUUACACACCCACACCCAAAACCUCCCUUUUAAAUAGGCAUUGGAAUAG
This 258-nucleotide long non-coding RNA is filed under the name Elaeis guineensis (African oil palm). Its description in RNAcentral is "long non-coding RNA (EGUI_LNC003619)". The record is from RNAcentral. Lineage: Eukaryota; Viridiplantae; Streptophyta; Magnoliopsida; Arecales; Arecaceae.